Molecule: small RNA, 992 nt
Filed under: Pongo abelii (Sumatran orangutan)
Lineage: Eukaryota; Metazoa; Chordata; Mammalia; Primates; Hominidae
Description: processed transcript
Source: RNAcentral
GAGAAAUUUUUCCUUCGGCUCAUAAAUGGGUAAAAAGACAUUAACAAACAAGCAGACUCCACUUUGGAAAUGAUAGCCCUUCUGUUGCAGAGUAAUACGAAGCUCUCUGAAGCUCACUCUAAUGACUUCAUAAAUCAAAACUGCAGCCUGUAAAGAUAUGAUUUUUCUUCAGGGAACAGAGGUCAUAUUUAAAGUGGCUUUAAGUCUGUUGGGAAGCCAUAAGCCCUUGAUUCUGCAGCAUGAAAACCUAGAAACCAUAGUUGACUUUAUAAAGAGCACACUACCCAACCUUGGCUUGGUACAGAUGGAAAAGACCAUCAAUCAGGUAUUUGAGAUGGACAUUGCUAAACAGUUACAAGCUUAUGAAGUCGAGUACCACGUCCUUCAAGAAGAACUUAUCGAUUCCUCUCCUCUCAGUGACAACCAAAGAAUGGAUAAAUUAGAGAAAACCAACAGCAGCUUACGCAAACAGAACCUUGACCUCCUUGAACAGUUGCAGGUGGCAAAUGGUAGGAUCCAAAGCCUUGAGGCCACCAUUGAGAAGCUCCUGAGCAGCGAGAGCAAGCUGAAGCAGGCCAUGCUUACCUUAGAACUGGAGCGGAAGGCCCUGCUGCAGACGGUGGAGGAGCUGCGGCGACGGAGCGCAGAGCCCAGCGACCGGCAGCCUGAGUGCACACAGCCCGAGCCCACAGGCUACUGACAGCUCUGCAGGAGAGAUUGCAACACCAUCCCACACUAUCCAGGCCUUAACUGAGAGGGACAGAAGACGCUGGAAGGAGAGAAGGAAGCGGGAAGUGUGCUUCUCAGGGAGGAAACCGGCUUGCCAGCAAGUAGAUUCUUACGAAGUCCAACUUGCAAUUCAGGGGGCAUGUCCCAGUGUUUUUUUUGUUGUUUUUAGAUACUAAAUUGUCCCUUCUUCAGUCCUGAUUACUGUACACAGUAGCUUUAGAUGGCGUGGACGUGAAUAAAUACAACUUAUGUUUUCUUGUUGG